Hydra vulgaris (swiftwater hydra) is the source of this 435-nucleotide non-coding RNA. Lineage: Eukaryota; Metazoa; Cnidaria; Hydrozoa; Anthoathecata; Hydridae. The record is from RefSeq and is a predicted model, not a curated record.
UAGAUAAGUUAAGAAAGAAAACUAACAGUUUAAUCUUGAAAUAAAAGUGCAAAUUUUUAUUUCAAGACUGAGUGCAUCAUUUUUACACACUUCUUUGAUGCUUAGUUACGUCUGAUAACUAAAGAAGAAAAAUUAUAAGGUUUCGUUGAAAUUGAAGAAAAAAGGCUGGGCAAAAUAAAUUUAACCGUCGCCAAAAUGAAUUAGAUGAGCCUAGUUAAUCCAAACUUGCAACAAUAAAUGUUGAAAUAUUCACAAAAGAUAAACAACCUCACAAAGUCGAAUUCGUUAUCCAGUGACUGAAAUGUUCUGAAUGUUGAUUGUAUUCAAAAAGCUAAAACGAAGCUUGAUAAUCUUCAAACUAUUUACUAAAAGAUAUAUAAUAAUGAAAAAAUGUUACAAAUUAAAUUGUUUUUAUAAGUAUUUUUAAAUAUAAAA